AUGGAACCAAUAGAGAGACAAAGGUAGGUGAGGUAAUCUCUUUUAUUGGACCAACAUCUGUUGGUGAAAGACAAAGCUUUCCAGCCUACAGAGCUCUUCUUUCAGGUCUAUCUGGGAAACAUAUUCAGAGCAUCACAGGUAAACUCAAGGUGGAACAGAUUGUUUAGCAAAAUAGUUAACACAUAUUUCAAGGGACCAUUCAAAGUGAAGUGGCCCAUUAACACCCCGCCAAUUGUAGGUGGAAAAGUUAAGGGAGAAGGCAGUUGGAGGGGGGGGUUGUUAGGGGAAUAUGGAACAAAUGAUAUGUGGAGGUCAAUGAAGAAUAAUUAUGGAAUACUCAGAUGCCAUUGUUAUAGUGUCACUUGUCUGAUCACCACACUUCGAAUUGUUAUGCAGCAGUAGCUGCCUGUUACAAACUGUUGCUGGGAGAGGCAGACAUACAAUCAGUGCUAGUGCUAGCUCACUGGGGGCCCUAAACACGACUAUUCUGUCCCACCCCCAACACAUGCUAAUACCGGACCCCCUUGAGCUGUUCAGGGCCUAAGCAAUUACAGUACUUAAUCUGCUUAUGUCUGGUGCCCGCUCUGCAUACAAUUGCCUAUGGUAGCAGGGAGGUCUGUAGCAAUCCGAAAUGUGUACAGGUGCUAGCAGCCUUGGUGUCCUGUCCACGAUUCACCCCUCACAAUACAUAAGCGGACCUGUUCUCACACGCAGCGUGAUCACUGCCACAGCAGGUACAGGUCGCCAGCCAGAACAGCAGGGUCAUAAAAGACCUGCCUGAAAACGAAAGCCGUAGCCCCUGCGGUGGAAAGGCACUUGCCAGCGAGGCCUGGCCCACCUCCCCCCCCCCACGCCGUCGAGCCGCAGCGCCUGGUUUAUUUUAUACCCACACGCAGCGGCACGGUUCAUGCAGUCCUGUGCAGUGGGCCCCGGGGAAUCCCCGCUCCGACCUCGGCAAGAACCAUGGGCGGGGCUGCGCUAGCCAGUGACGGAGGGGACCAGCCCAGCUGCCCUUGUUUUCCCAUCGCUCUCAACAGCGGCCACACAACGCCCCAGCCUUGUCCAGCUCAGGGCAGGGGAAGCCGAGCUCGCCCCGCCCCAUCUCCUGCCCCGGGGCGGGACGCGCAAGGUCCCUCCCGCGCGGGGGCUGCGCUGGGCGGCGGGACCGCGCCCGCCAAUCCUAUGGCUCUGGGGACAGCGGGGAGCCCCGGUAGCCAAGGAGCAGCGAGAGCGCGGGGUGGCCGGCUGGCCGCGGGCAGCGAUGUGACCCGGGGCGCGGGCGGCGGCGGCGGUGUCUCCCCCUCGGGGCUGAGGCGGGACAUGGCGAAUGUCAAGGUGGCCGUCCGGGUUCGGCCUCUGAGCAAAAGAGAGAAUGCAGAAGGGGGAAGAAUAAUUGUAGAAGUUGAUGAAAAAGUGGCAAAAGUCAGAAACAUAAAGGUAGACAAUAGGCUUGAGGGCUCAUGGGACACAAGAGAGAAGAUUGUGGCUUUUGGCUUUGAUUUCUGCUAUUGGUCAGUUGAUCCUGAAGAUCCUAAAUAUGCAUCUCAGGAAGUGGUUUUCCAGGACCUCGGCACCUCAGUGCUAUCUGGUGCUUUUAAGGGGUACAAUAUCUGUCUUUUUGCAUAUGGACAGACGGGUUCAGGAAAAACGUACACGAUGAUGGGAACUCCAGCAUCCAUUGGGUUGACACCUCGUAUAUGUGAGGGCCUUUUCUCAAGGGAGGAUGAUUAUUCAGAGCAGCCAGCAUCUUGCAGAAUAGAAGUCAGUUUCCUUGAAAUCUAUAAUGAGCGUGUCCGAGAUUUGUUAAAGCAAUCAAACCAGAAAAAACCUUAUACGCUUCGUGUCCGAGAGCACCCUGAGACAGGUCCAUAUGUGCAAGGAUUGUCUCAGCAUUUAGUUACAGACUACAAAGAAGUCAUAGGACUUCUGGAAGAAGGAAUAGCCAACAGAAUCACAGCAGCUACGCAUGUUCACGAUGCCAGCAGCAGAUCCCAUGCCAUCUUCACCAUUCAAUACACUCAGGCUAUACUGGAGAACAAUCUCCCUUCUGAAAUUGCAAGCAAGAUCAACCUGGUGGACCUUGCAGGCAGUGAAAGAGCUGAUCCCAGUUAUUGCAAAGAUCGAAUUACAGAAGGUGCCAACAUUAACAAGUCAUUGGUUACUCUGGGAAUUGUCAUCUCCACCUUAGCACAAAACUCUCAGAUGUUCAGCAGCUGCCAGAGCAUAAACAGCAUAACUAGUGAAGGGGACAACCACGUGAGCAGUCACUCUCCAGGCAGUGUCAGCGGAACUAGGCGUCAGGCUUACAUCCCGUACCGUGACUCCAUCCUCACCUGGCUUCUGAAGGACAGUCUAGGGGGCAACUCCAAGACCAUCAUGAUCGCCACCAUCUCUCCUGCUAGCUCCAGCUACAAUGAGACCAUGAGUACUUUGAGAUAUGCCUCAAAUGCCAAAAACAUUAUUAACAAGCCCCGGGUGAAUGAGGAUGCAAAUGUAAAACUGAUUAGAGAACUACGAGAGGAAAUAGAUAGAUUAAAAACUAUGCUGAUGAGCUUUGAACUGAGGAAUUCUAGCCCUUCCUGGAGUGAUGACAGAGAUGGAAAUCUGACAGAAUUGGUUCUUCAGAAUGAAAUGAAGAUUGAACAGCUGACCAAAGACUGGAGCGAUAAGUGGACUGACAGGAAAGUCAUAAUGGAAGAAUACAGUGUGGACAUCAACAAAGAAAAAGCUGGAGUGACAAUAGAUUCCAAUUUACCUCAUUUAAUGGCAGUGAAUGAUGAUAUCCUCAGUACUGGAGUUGUGCUUUAUCAUCUCAGGGAAGGAACAACCAAAAUUGGAAGAUGUGAUUCAGACCAGGAGCAGGAUAUUGUUCUGCAGGGUCAAUGGAUUGAAAGGAACCAUUGCAUUAUAGACAACAAGUGUGGGAUUGUGACACUGCGGCCAAUCCAGGGAGCAUAUUGUACUGUAAAUGGACAGGAAGUCACUGGUGCUUGUCGUCUGUCACAAGGAGGUCUUGUUGUCCUGGGCAAGGCUCAUAAAUUUAGGUUCAACCACCCAGCAGAGGCUGCCAUUUUAAGACAAAGAAGAUUGAUUAGUGAAGUCUCCACCGUAUUGAGCAGCAAAUCUUUGGAAUGGCUGGACUUGGAUGGAGAUUUCACUCCUUCCCCUCCCUAUAUCUUUUCUCCACUUGAAAAAGAAAGUCAAAAGCAUAUAGGCCAUGAGGAGUGCAAACAUUCAACUGAAAUGAUGAGCAGAGAGAGAGAUUCUGUGCAUGAAGAGUACAAGCAGAAGCUGAGAGAUCAGGAAGCUUUCCACAGGGAACACAUUCAACAGCAGCAGCUCUACGUUGAGGAUUUAAAGCAGCAGAUCCUGGCAGGACAGAUCAAAGCAGAGCGGGAACUAGAAUAUGACCAGGCACUAAUCAACCAGCAGAUCAGAGAAAACCAACAGUGGCUUAAUGAGAAGAAACAACUUGCUUCCCUCCAGCCGCAGCAGAGGGAGUUUGCUGUACAGACAGAGUCUAAGUCGUAUGUAGAAGCUGAAGUGCAGAAUACUGUGGAUUUGGAGAUCUGUCCUUCCCUGGUAGAGCAGAACAGGAAGAGACUGGUACAGCUGGAGCUUUUGCGGAGAUACUCUUUAAAGAAAGCAGAAAGAAACAUAAGGCGGAAAAAGGUCAAGUUCCAGUUGGAGAGGAUUAUCAAGAAGCAAAAAUUACUGGAAGCCAAGAGAAACCUAGAGCAGCUAGAGGCCAGCUGCUGGCUCAGUGAGGAUAACCUGAAACAGUCCCAAGUCCUGAACCAAAAUACCACAAUUACCUCCUGGGAUUACAAGUUGCAAAGGAGAAGCAAGUCAUUGGGUUCAAGUUCCUUGCAACACAGAAGACAUUCUUUUUGUAAUCCUUACCCACCACAUGUACCCAUUUACAGCUCUUUUCUGAAGAGGGAGACCACCUCUGAAUUAUCUACCUCACCAAAUACCUAUAAAUGCCAUGAAGGCAAUGCACCAUGGAAAACGCUGUCUCUAGAAUAUCUACCCAGAACAAUUAAAGACAAUUCCAGGGGAGAUUACCUUAAUGAAGAGAGGUAUAGGUCCUUCGCAACACAGAGACAGCUAACUAAAAAACAAAAGACAUCACUGUUUGGAAAUAAAAAAGGAGCAGAAAAAGACUGUAAUGGUUCAGUUAUCAUAUUACAUAUCAACAAAGAUAAUAAAAAAAUGGAAAAAUUAGAUGAUAGACUUGUACAAACUGAACCUCAAAGCCAGACCUCUAAGAACCUCUCUUCCGAUCAGCUUAAGAAGAAAGGUGAACUCGAAACCUUUAUUACAGGGACACAAGUGACCAAAGUGAAGGUAUUAGGAGAUUCAAGUCAGCCUACAGGGAGACAGCUAGAAGAAAGUGAAGCCCAGGCAUUUCAUAAAAAGUCUAGAAUGGAUUUAAGAGGAGAGCGCCAAGAUUCACUUCCAGAAAGCUUUACUAAGGAAGUGAAAAAAUCAAUAGUGCGUGGAAAGCCACCAUCAGGUUAUCUAAGUCAAACAGCAAGGAACUUGAAAAGAGAGCCAAAGUCAUCCUUGCCAAGUCAUGAUAGGCAGUUAGUGGAAAAGCAGGAGUUUCUGAUGACCGCUACUUCAGUAGGAAACCUUAAUAAGAUAAACAUCCAGACACCACUCCGUUACAUUGAAAAAAAAUGGCACAGUGCUGAGGUGUUGAGUGUUGGAAUCUCAAAAACAGCCACAGAUCUGCUAGGGAACUGGCAAGAGGAUGAUGAAAAUGACUUUUCUGAUACUGAUAGUUCCUACUCUGUGGAUUCUCUCUCCUGUGCUUAUGCAAAAGCCUUGACUGAGCAACUGAAACAGGAAGAUUCAGACAGGAAUAAAUGUAUCACCAACCCAGAAGAUUCUGAAAGUGAUGAUAGUCAGAUGUCUCAAGACUCUCUGGUAGAAAAAGAAAAUAAAGCCAAAAAACGAAGUAAAAAACGUUUUCACAAAUUAGUGGUUCACCAAGAGCCAGUUAAGUUUUACAAAGACAGAUACGAUCACCAUAUCUCACCUUUGGUGACCUCAUCCACAUCACGCAGUGGAUUGGCAAAGACUGAAAGAAGCUUUUCUCUGGAUAGCUUAGCUGAUGCAGAAGAGGUGUUAGCAGAAGAUCUGGUAGAAGAAUCCAAAUCUGAUUCAUCUGAUGAAGUGCCUGCAGAGAUAUUUUGGAGGCUGCAGAGUCCUAGGUCCCCAGCCAUACAGACUGAGGAAUACCAGAAGCCUGGAGCCUGUGAUAAAGAUGUAAAAGGAACAAAUUAUGAUCUAAAACAGAGCAGUUCUUUUUAUCUGGGUACUCAAACACCGUCCAUUUGCAAUAACACUUGCAAACAGCCAUUAAAAGAGAUGAAGGUUUGUUUUGUAGAACAAGAAGGGUUGCUUGAUCAAAGACUUAAUUCUACAGGUGGAAACCCUUUGACGCUCAUUGAUGCUUUGUCUUCAUAUGACUCCAAAAGUGAAAUCAGCAGCCCCAGAAUAGCUGUACCUUCUUUUCAUAAAAAUUUACAAUUUUGUGGUGCUCAUCUGAGCAAGCUGGAAUGUUGGAUGAAGAAAGAUGACCUAAAGCAGUCAGCUGCUGAAGUAUCUUUUGUCUCUGGCUAUAAGCAGUUACAGAGUAUUUCUCAUUUAUCACAUGGUGUAAAUGAGAUAAAUGCAACUUUCUCCUCUGAUGGAUCAGAAAUACCAUUACCAGAAACAACACAUUUUGAGAUAGAUGAAAACAAAGUUCCUGAGAGUGGAUCUUUAUUAAGUAAGAUGGUCAAAGAAAAUGUAAAUUCUGAUGAAAAUUCUGUCUUAGAAUCUCAAGAUGUUAGGUCAUUGUUUGUCAGUUCAAUAGGACCGAGUACUUCAUGUGUCCCCAUUUCAGCAUUGUCAGCAAAACGUGGUUAUUAUGAAGAUGUCAAGUCAGUUCAUUCUAAACACAAACAGCUUACUGUAUCAUCUACUUAUGGAUCUACUGUUGAAUACACACAACAGCAUAGCUGUUUGAAAAAAACCUCUGUGACAGAUUGUUUGUUACCAGUAUCUGGAAAAGAAGAGGGCUCUCUCCCCACAAUUUAUCCUGAACUGCCCAAGGAUCAGGAUUCUAAAAAAAUAUCAUUAAUUUCAACACCAUCUACAUAUGUUUUACAGCAGAGAAAUGAUCAUGGAGAUUCUGAUUUAGAAGAUAACUUCUUUAGAACUAUUGAAAAAGAAGACACGGGUAAUGAUUGUGAUAAUUUGAUAACGGAAUCAAAACCAUUAGAUUCAAACUCUAGAGAUGCAUCUGUCAAUGCAGCUGCCAGUGGAUUGUCUAAAGGGCUGUGUCCUGAUACAGCUUCAAUACCCACAGUAGGAACAUCUUCAGAAAAACAGGGAAUAUAUGAAAAACAUGGUCAGCUCUUUGCAAAAGAAGGAACAUCAACAUCCUGUGAUGAGGGUUUCUUUCUCCGUGACAUGUCAAACAAGAAUAGGAAUACUGGUAUAAAGAAAAGUUAUACACUUCAGACUUCUGUUGAACAAGGAGAAAAUUCUGCUGGUAAAGUAGGUCUACUCAGUUACAGGGGGAAUAAUUUUAAAUCUGUGCAGAAGAUUGAUUACCAACAGUUGUCUGCGGGAGAAAUAACCAUAGACAAAGAUUUUUCUUCUGAAAGAAAACCCUGUCACACUGGUCCUGCAGCCUUUCCCCAGGAUGCUAGUUAUGACCAAUUCACAACAUCAAUAGACACUUUUCAGAAAGAGUUGGUCUGUAAUACAACAAGUAGAGAUAUCCUAAUUGAAACUGCCUUGGAGGCCCCUUCAUUCAGAGAUACUGAAAAAUAUGAACAGAAGGAGGAAAAUCUGUGUUCACAAAAUAAUUGUGAAAUUCAAAGGAAAAUUGUUUUAAAGAAUGAUUUUCUUGAAAGUUCACAGGCUGACAAUCCUGAAAGUUGCUUAUCCCUACAGGUUUUGGGAAACACCACAUUAUGUCCUGAGACUAUAAGAAAAGAAAGCAGUGAAAGUAAAGAAAAACAUAAUUUGAGUUCUCACCCUGUAGGCCAGGAAAGGUCUUCAUCCAAAUAUAGAAAUUUGGUGGUAGAUGAAUUAAGAUACCUUAAUGUGAAUUUAAAUGGAAAAAACACUGAGCUCUCAACUGCAGCUACUUGUGAAAUUAGAGAUGAAUCCACCUCACAGGCCAACUCAAGUGAAUUUUACUAUGACACAGCAAAAACUAAUCUUUUCCUACGUGCUUCUGAAGCUGAGAAAUAUAAUACACAACUGCAGGAUCUUACAGCAAUUAAUGAAAUUUGUGAUACCAGAUCUAAUCUCAGUAUAGAAAACAAUGUCGAAAAAAGUUGUUGUUCUGAAACUAAUUCUAAUUGCCUCUGCACAAUGUGCUGCUUAAAAUCUGAAGAGCAGAAAAACAAUAUGUAUAAAAAGGCUUUUGAAGGUCUUGUGGGAUAUGAUGCAGCCAUUCUCUCUGAUGAUACUCAGACCAAGAACAAAUCCUUUCCUGAAUCAAGAGAAGAGAGUGAAACUGCUUUUUCUUGUAUGGUUCAUACUGAAAGUGAUUUCUCAGGAGAGGUUUUGUUUGUUGGAGGAACCAGUAAUUAUGUAAAACCAAACUCUGGAGAAGUGCUUGAACACAAUACAAUUAUAUCAGACACUGCUUUCCAAGAAGGGAGUCCAAGUGUGAAUAACAAAUCUGAAUGCACAAAGAAGGCAGCUGAUCCUGAAGAUGAAAUUAUCCUGGAAGAGACUUUGGUUCCCUAUCAGAGUAAAAAAGUAAACACCACUGAAGAAAUUGCUCAACUGGUUAACAGUGUCAUCAAGUUGGAAAGCAAUAUUUUGGAAAUUAAAGCUAGACAGACUGAAACCUUACAUAACUACUCUGUAGUUGAAGCCCAAUGUGAUAUUGCAGAAAGGAGCAAAAAUAAUUUGGAAAACAAAAGUCUGGUUCAGAGAUCAAAAGAUCCCAGUGAUCUUGUGGCUUGCAAAGAUCACCAUGUGUUUUACAAAAAGCUGCACACAACAGUACUGCAUGAAGAGGCAGAGAAAGAAGAAUCGGGUGUAUAUAGUGUUGGUGGUGUAGGACACACUGAUGAAUCAAAAACAGUGGAGAUUUCUGACAGCUGCAUUCAGACAAGUAGCUGUCAUGAAAAUAAAAGGAAAGCAAACAUGGAAAUAAAUUAUUGUUCAACAGAGACUGAAGCUGCUUCUAAAAGCAUUCCUUCCUCACUGCGUUCCAGCUCAUCGGAUUUCUCUGAGAAUACUAUAGGCUUCCUUGAUACUUAUGAGGAGUUGAAGCAGACUAAUAGAAUAAUAGAAAAUGUGUUGAAUACUGAAAGCAUAGCCAGAACAAUACCAGGUAGUUGUGGAGAAGAGAACUCUUUAGAAAACAGUGAAAAGGAACAAAAAAAUGCUUCUAGCAAUACAAGUGAAAUUUGUAUAACAGACUGCUUGGUGAUGGCCCAUCAGAACUUUUUUCAACAAAACAGAGUUGAUGAAAGCAUAACUAACUCCAAAAUGAUUGGGAGUGAGGAACAAACUAAUGUAAAAGACCAUGAGAUGUUGGUUAGCACAGGGAGAGGUGAACUGCACACAAAUGUAAAUGUUGUUUCAUUUACACAAGAGACUCCAGCUCUAGAUCAGAUGUAUUCUGACACAGACAACAGUGAAAAAUUUAUAAUUGAAUCUGAGAUCCCAGAAAGAUACUUUACAGCUUCCAAACUAGAAGAACAAGAUGUUUUGUCAGUUGAUACUUCAAGGUUAACAGGAGGUAGCCAUGAUGCAAUUGAAAAGAAGGGCAAGACAGGUAUAAUGAAUAAAUUGGUGGAAGACAUCAAUAACUGUGACAGUUCAGCUGAUGAUAGUGAGCAAAAUGUAAUCAGAGGAAAAUCUGGAAGACUUAUUAAAGAGAAUAGCAAUACAGAUAAGAGUUCUUAUACCGACUAUCCCGAGUGUGGGGUGUCUGAAGGUUUGGAUGUAAAUUUUAUUGGAAGCAGACCUGAUAAUUUUGAAUCUGAUCCAAUGCGCUUCAUAGCACAAGAGAAGGAGAAAACGCAUCUGAUAAAUCUGGUACAAAUGGCUAAAGCAGAUGUAAUAAAUGAAAGUUUGAAAACAUAUAAUGCGUCUGUUUUUAGAACAGAUGAAGAAAGGAAGGCUUUCAAAGAAAACAUUGAGAGUCGAGAACUGACUGCUUCACAAAAUCAAAAUGAAGUUCCACCUGAAAACAAAGGCAGCCACCAACUGACAAAUAAUAAAUUAAAUGAGAUCUUAAAAGAAAGUCAUUGGGUAUCUAAAGAUUGUUCUAGAAAUGAUGCCAAUGAUUCCUCAGUACGUAAUAAACAACAGCGUACCCCAGAAACUAUAAAGUCUUCUGAAGAAACUCAACAGUAUUUGCUUAAAGUCUUUCCAUGUCAGUCUGUAAAUCAUCCUUUAUAUUUUGGAAUAAAUAACAGCACAGAAGUUGUGCAGGAUGAUCCCACUGUGUUAAGAGGACAUGUAAAGUCAUUUAAUAGCAAUGCAGGUACGGGAGUUGUUCUUCCUUAUUAUGAAACAUUAAUGGAGAACGAUGUGCAUGUUGGAGCACCCAGUACGCUUAACAAAGAGAGACGAGAUGAAUCAUUUUCUGAUAAAAUGCAAAAUAAAGACUGUGAUUUUCUGCAAAGCAUGAUCAUGCAGAACAAGCAGAGGGAAGGACACUUUGUAUUAAACAACACAUCUAAUUAUGCAGUAUCUGAGCAAUUUCCUGAUAAGGAUGACAUAAAUUCAACUUCCUCUAUUGCAAGGUGUCAUGAAUCCAUAAUUGUUACACCUAGUCAAGGCACAAAAAAUAAUUCAGUUUCCCUAGGAAGGUUAGAUUCUCCUGAAGAUAUAAUUCAAAAUGUGAGCAAUUCUGACACAGAGCACAGUACAGGCUUAAGUGUGGGAGGAAAAUCAAAAGUUCGUUUUAAUUCCUUAGAUGAUAUAGUUCAAGAAGGAAGUAUGGCUGCAUCAAUGGCUGUGUCUGGUCCACAGACUUCAGAUAAUGAAAAUCUGCUUUCCUCUUCAAUGUUGAAUGAUAAUGCUAUGAAAGAGAAAAGAAAGCAAUCACUACCAGCGGUCUGUUCUCAGAAAGCUUUUCAAAAUAUUAAUAUAAGUCAGAAAGAAUUAGCACAAUGCAAUCAGACAGAGAAAUGUUCAGCUGCAGACUAUAUUAAAACAGACUAUAGAAGUAAUAGUGAAAGGAUUCCUGAUGUAUUUGGUUAUCAAACUGAACCCAGUGAGAUUCAGGCAUACAGGGCUUCUAGAGAUCUUUGUGUGGGAUAUCCAGACAACUCUGCAGUUGCUUCUGAGACCUUUUUAGAAAGUAUUAAUCAACCCUUGUGGAAAAAUGCUCAUUAUGACGAACACUCUGCAAGAUAUAAUAUGAAUUCUUGUGUUUCUAAAUAUUCUGGUGGUCUGCUGAAGAAUAGCCCUGCUACACUUGCAAAUGUGUUGGUAGACAACAGAGAAGACAAAUGUAAAAUUGAUGCUGUUUGUUUUGGAAAAACAAAAUACUUUGAAAGUGAAUCAUUAGAUUUGGAUGUGCCUAUACUUGUUUCUGAUGAUCUCUCUGUAAAUCAGAAAGAUGAUGAAAGCAAAAUUUGUUCUGUAGUUGGAAAGAGAGAGAGAAGAAACACACAGCAUGAUGAAAUCACUAAAGAGGUCAUUGGAGUAGAUCAAAAGCAAGAACAAAGUCAAGAUUCUUUCCAGAUUUGCCAUGGUGUAAAAGAAAAAAUAUUGUGUUUAUACCCAGAAGACUAUAUUGGUAGUUCUGGCAUGAAACUACCAGAGAAGAGCUUGCUUACAUAUCAAAGUCUUGAACAAAUUAGCAAUAAGGAAACAAAAUCUCUUACCUUAUGCACUGUGGAAGAUGUUCCAGCUUAUACAACAUUUCAAAGUUCCAACAAUCUUAGUACCUUUGAAACCUCUAAUUUGCCAGAAGACUCCAAAUCUCUGAAAUUUAGGCAGCUUGAUGACUCAUUGCAAGACAUUUCUUUGACUGACCGGUUGUCAUCUACUUUUACAAAUCCUCAUUCUCUACAAGAAAGACAAGAGAGAGAGUUUCCUCGAGCAUUUCCAAAAGUUUCUUACCCAUCAUUAAAAAUGUUUUCAGAAUAUCCUCUUACUGCUGACAUUGGUUACAAUGAAACUAGCAGAUACGAUGUUUCACAUACAACUACUUCAAACUGUUCUGCGUUUGAUAUAGUUCAAAUGCAAGAGAGUCAAUCUGAUGAUGCUGUGAUAUUUGACCAGCAGCCAUCUGCUUCAACAAGUAUUGUACUUUCUCUUACAAAAGAAAAGGGACAUCUCCCAGUAGCUGAUACAAAAUCUACCUCUCAAGGAUAUCCUGCUGAAGAUGGAAAAUCAAUACAUAAAAGUAACUCUGAACAACUCAACAAUGAAACAGAAGUUGAUAAACAACCCUGGGAUAAAGUUUCGCUACAACAAGCAUUUUUCGAAAACCUAAGGAAAGUAGAAGAUGAUGUUUCUAUGCCAUCAUCAUUAGCUGUUGGGGAUGCUAGAAGAGCAACUCUUAAUAAAGAAGAAAAUAUGAGAGAGAGAAUUAGCAGAAAUGAGAAGGCACUUCCUGCAACAGACAGGAAGCAGAGAAGAACAUUUUUAAGAAAAGAUCCUGUUGAAAAUCAAACCAUAGCAUCAUCAGUUUUUGCUAAUGAGUUCAUGGACCCACAAAUUACAAUAUUGCAAAACCCAUGUUCAGGAAACAUUAGUGUGGAUUCCAGGUACAUGUUCAAUCUGUAUGGGCGAGUAUGUCCCACAGAUAACAAUGCUGCUGAUCCCAAAGAAACAUAUCACGCUGCCUCAAAUUCAUGUGCAGAUUUACAAGACAAUGGGCAGGUUGGGCAUGCCAGGGAAAAAGAUCAAAGUAGAGCAAAUGUAAGCAGUGGAAAAGAUAUGGUACAUUGCAAAAAUAAUGCAUAUUCAAAUGUUGAUAGUCCUGACAAUUCUCAGAUAGUGGCAGAUAAUAUAAUGAAGAUUAAGCGAAAGACUUCAAAAUCAGAAAGGCUAAAUCUUUCUGUCAUGAAAAAUGAGAAUACAUCCUUCAAAAUGUUACCAGAAAACAAUUGUUUGCCUCCACAGGAACCCAAGUUGGUAUUACUUAGGAAUGAAAAAUCAUACUUUACUGCACAAAAUACAAAGCAUUGCAGACAAGAUGAACAAAGAAAUUGUUUACAGAAUCACAUAUUGUCAGCCCCAGCUAUUUCUGCAAUCUCUGAUCUUGAAUACACUUCAGAAGUUUCGUCUAAGGCACAUCUUUCUUUGUAUCCUGCCUCUAAAUCUUUACAAGAAUUGAAUAUGAGUGUUGAGCCUCCAUCUCCAACUGAAGAUGAUCUUCAUGGAAUUGAAAGAUUUUCAAAAUUGGAGUCAGAUAAUUUCAUACUGGCUAAAUAUAAACCUAGAUUGCAGCAGAGAUUGGUACAAACUCAGAGACUUGCUAAUUAUGAUCCAAAAAGCUCACAAAACUAUGGGGAGAGAAGCCGAGGCAGCAAUUCCUUAGAGCCCUCUGCUAUUCACUAUUCAACUGCUUUGGCACAUAGAGCUGGUCGUUCCAUGGAUAUAGAAGUAAAAAAACAUUCAGUUAAUACUUCUUUACCACAGUGCAAUGAAGAGACAAUUGAAGAAUUGAGAGAUCAACCAGAAGAAACAGAUUUAUUUUUACAGGACAAUAAAGAUGCAAUGCAUUUUAGUUCAAGUGAUAUCAAUCCAUACAUUCAUCCAUGGCAGCAAGAUGGACUCUGCAAGAUUGGUUGGAAGCAGUAUGUUUUUGGUAGUGCAAGUGAUGUCUCUUGCAGUCAGCCUCCUCUAAGCCUGGAUAAUCAUAAGGUUAUGAGAUGCUCCAGUGUGGAUAAUGGACUGAACUCUCAAAACUCCCCUUUUCACUCUCAUCUCAGUUCUUAUGCUAAUGCAAAAGUACUAUCAAGCACUUUAAGCAGCAUUGAAGACCCCCAGGGAUGGGAUGAUGUGAGACAGGGCUUUGAAUCUACAUAUUCAAGUGACAACAGCAAGCAUUAUGUAAAUGUAUCCAGUGAGAUACUUGAAACAACCCCCAAAAACAGAAUUUCAACAUUUGAGAAUCCUUCUGAGCAACCUGGAAACACUUCCAUGCAAGUUGAUGAAAUUGUACUCCUCUACCCUUCUGAGUCAGAAACAGCCUCCAAAAAAACACAAGGCAUUACUUGUGAGCAGGGAACACAAACAAUGGCUACAGGAAGGUAUAAAAGACAGAAAAGGCACCGGAGAAGUUAUACAGAUGUUUCUGCAAGAAAACAAGAUGCAAGUAGGAGUUCAUUUCAGCGACCUUCUUCUUGGACGAGCAUGCAGAAUCUGUCCAUCCACCUAUCGCAGCUUCUUCAUAACACUUCCGAGCUGCUGGGAAACCUCUCCCAACAGAAUGUUAUAGAUAACGAGCAGAAUGCCAAAAUCAAUCAAAGAGGAAUUGCUGAAGAGAUUGUAAGGGCUGCUAUGUCAGACAGUUGUACUCAAACUACAGGAGAUGUAGGCGUUCAAGCUGAUAGUUCAGAACAUCCACAAAGCAAAAACAAAGAAAAUCUAUUGCAGGCAACAAUUGAAAAUGAAUUGAUGAAAGCUCAGGAAGUGAAUGUGAUUGUGAAAGUGGUAGGUUCAGAUACUGUAUGUAGGUCUCAGGAAAAGAAAGAUGUAGGUCUGACUAUUCAAGCGAGAACUCCAGAAAGCAUUGAAAUGAGAAUGCAGAGCAUGCCUGACUUCAGUGACUCUGCUGCUAAUAUUUUGGGAGAUUCCUUUAUGCAUCUGCCUUCAUUAGCCAGAGCCUCCACUCCUAUUUUAGAUUUUCAGAAACCACCAUUCAGCACACAGCAGAAUGUUGCUUUUGGCAGUCCCACAGUUUCUCCUGUUGUAUCAUCUUCACUGAGUUCAGGACAAGAUGAAUCUUCAUGCACAGUAGUUAGCAGCUCUACUUCUAGUACAUCUCAAUCUCCAGCACAUUACGUUCAGGAUAAGAGAACUGUUGAUGAAUCUGAUAUUGCAGUAGUAAGGAAGCUAUGUUAUAAAAACACUUUAUUAGUUGACAGAGCCUCUUCCCCUAUUCUAACACUUAGUGCAAAUCCAAGCAACCAGGUUACCUGUAGCAAGUCCAUUUGGUCUAUCAAGGGAUCUGUGGAACAUCCUCUUGAUACUUCAAGUUCCUUUAAUCAAAGAAAGCAAGGAUCACGUUCUGGCUUGGGCACCUUGGAGCCUCAUGUAGACAAUUCUUCACAAACAGAAACAGACAAUGAAUCUACCACUUCUAGAAAUAGCAAGGAAGUGAGCAAGAAAUCUGGAAGUUUCUCAGAUAAGAACACGGCUAAAGAGUUCUUAGGAAUAGGUGUUUCAAAAGAAUUGAAGGAAAAGCACAGAUUCACUGUUGACGCGCACACUACAAUUCGUGCAAAAAGACUGUAUCAUUCAAGUAGCACUUUAGAGGUUUCUGGCCAUGGGGAAUAUCUAGUUGAUGAUCUCAAAGAGCACAUUCCAAUGGAACGUUCACUACAUUGUAUGUAUGCCACCAGAAGAGGAAGAGGCUCUUCAGGAAGAAUCAGAUAUGACAAAACCACUGGAAGUUCUGAUGCCUCUUUGAUUAAAAACCACUCUCAGACUUCUUAUGUUGAGGAAUGUAGACAUUCCCCUCCAAAUUCUGACUUGCUUUUUAAUCAAGAAAUUAGCACGUGUUGGUCAAGCAAGACAAAUGCUGAUGGAUCUCCAGAACAUCAGAUAGAAGCCUCUUCUGCACAGUUCCACCAUUCCUUUUGGAAAAAUAGAUGCCCUUUUCCACUUUCUAAAAUGAGUGACAUGCAUGUACCCCUUCAAGAUGAUGAUACAGCAUCGGCUUCUACAAGUGAAUGUAAUACUGAAAUUCUACUAAACGAGAAUGACUCCUUAGUGAAUACACACAGGCCACGAAGCUAUAGUCUUCGUGACUUGCCCCUACACAAUAAAUUUAGCAACUGGUGUGGAGUGAAGGGCAGUCCUCCAUCCUCAAUAAUUAGCUUGACUGGCAGUGCUGCUGAUUUACAAAAUCAAAUGGAAAAGAAGCCAGUCAGCAAACAAGCAACUGAAACAGAAGUGAAAUCCCAGCCUUGGGAAAGUAGAACAAGAGAAAUUGAGAGACUUCGAAGAGAGCGUGCCCAGAUUAUGUCUGGCAUACAUCUGGAUAUGAAGCAGCACCCUCUUACUGUAGAGCUUACUGAAGCAAAGCUGAAUUAUGGAAUUGGGGAAACAGAUGCACUGCUGAGAAUUCUUCAGAAUGGAACAGGGGAGGAUCUGACUUCAGUUCCCAUAAAGCAGCAACUUUAUGAAAGGCACAUGAAGACAAUCGAAGCCCUGAGAAAGCAGAGGGAGGAAAGGCUGCAGAGCUUUAGGAGAACCCGCAGUCUCAGUCCACAAAAGCAUCUGAGCCUGUUGCAGAUGUUGGACACAAACCAGCGGGAUCUGGAUCUCCCCAGCAGACGCCGAGAGUACCUGCAGCAACUGAGAAGAAAUGUAGUAGAAAAUACUAGAGUCCAAGAACCACAGAGGAGGAUUGCCCAGUAUCCUUCAGAGAUUGAACUACUACUCCGAGACUAUCAGAGGGCACGAGAGGAGGCCAAGACUGAAAUUGCAAGAGCAAGGGACAAACUUCGGGAGAGAGCUGAGCAAGAAAAGAGACGUAUACGAGAGCAAAUAUUUUCUCAUCUACAGAAGGAAGAAGCAAAGCUGAAGACACUUGUAAGCACAAGCACUUUAUGUACAGAUUCCAGCCUAAGUCUUUCCUCUGGCCCAACAUCUGGUUAUAACAGCAGCAACGCUGCUACUUAUGCUGCAAAUAAACUCAGCAAACAGGAAGCACUGAUUUCUCCUGGAAGUGCAGAGCUCCCAAGAGGAGAUACAAGAGGUCGCUCAGCUGUUAGAAAUAGUCAACUUUAUGUGUUAGAGCAACUACAAAAGAAUUCAGCAUGUGAGAGCAGCAGAAAUCAGUCACCACUUCCAUCUGCUAGCAUCAGCCAUAAGUUCCGUCCUGGACUAACUCUUUCAGUCAGCUCCUCUCCUACAAAAGAAUACCAGGAUUUGUCCAAACACAUUUUGGAUAAUGCUAUCACUGAGGUUAUGGCAGCAUGUUCAAAUAACCUGAGGAACUUUUACAACUGCCAGGCAGCAGCUGGUUGGAAAUACCAGUGUACAGAAAAAGAGGUACUGGUUUAUUACAAAGUCUUCCCAUCAGCAACUAAGCAUGGGUUUUUGGGAGCUGGAGUGAUUGAAAGACCUCUUCCCAAUGUGUGGUGCAUGGUGAAAGACCCUGGCAAAAGGCAUCUAUAUGACAAAACCAUUAACACAGCUCAAGUACAUAAGAAAGUAACGAGCCAUAUUCAGCUGGUAUAUUUGGUGAGUGAUACUUCAUUGUGUUAUCUAAAGCAACCACGGGAUUUCUGCUGCAUCACGGUAGAGGCCAAAGAGGAAAACUUGUCGAUUUUAGCUAUUCAGUCUAUCUAUGAUGAGUCCAUGCCUCGUCCUUGUAAAGAAAUGGUACGAGGGGAGAUUCUACCAAGUGCUUGGAUAUUGGAACCUGAUCGAGUAAAUGGAAAAGACAUCACCAGAGUCAUUUACAUGGCACAGCUAUUAUAAACAAAAUGCCAGAAUGUAAAGAAUGAGAUUGAAAAUAAUACAAUUCCAUUGUAAUACACUGCCAUUAUGCAAGACCUCAUUGAGAGUAUGAUGUUCAUUUCAGCCCCUAUCUCAAGCAGAAGGGGACCAGAGCCAGGUGAUGAAAGUCGAUCUUGGCGCCCCAGCUAUCCCUGCACGGCUUCUGAGCUCCAUUGUUAAGCAGCAGCCUCUGGUGAUUGCUAGGCUAGCACAUUUUUUUGCUAGUUAACAACAGAACCAGACACAGUUACAGUGGGAGAAAGCUGCUAAGUACCAAGGAAUAGAUGUGAAAGUCUUUAUCCUCCUCACAGACAAAGUAAAAUUUUGGCUUAGAAAACAUGUCCCACUUCAGAACUGGAGAUGAGAAGCAACAGGCUAACCAGCCAUGGGCAAAGCUAUUACUGAAACAAACAAAUGGAAGACCAUCAGCUGCAGGAAUCACUGUUCAAAGAGUAAACAUUCCUGGGGUACCUGUCCUUACCAGAGGUAGGUCCCUAACUGCACUUGCUGUUCAGUAGUGGGAAAAAGUGCUGCCUGUAGAAGUUCUGUCAGCAAAGGCAGAGAGCACUCACCUUGCAAGCAAUCAACAUCUAUAUGUAGAAAUCUGCUUGGGUGCAAAAGGCAGGUUACAGCUAUUUCAAAGUGCAAUCCUUCCUUCUCCACUGCUUGUUUUUCUUCCAAGAAAAAAGAAGUGAUGUAAGAGUAUAUCAUGGCCAGAGGCUUUUUACAAGCCCUUAUAUAGAGAAACAAAUCUGUUGUAAUGCUCCUUGUAGCAUCUGACAAGAAUGAUGCUUACAGAUGGAGGCUUCAUAAUAAACAUUGUAGAUAAAGUCAGCUUGCCCACCUGGAGGAGUCACUUCAUCUUGGCAAGGUUAAAAUGUUAACAGCAUGACAAACUAAUCAUUCUACACCCCGCUUGAAUGAAGAUCUAGAUCCAGUAUAUCAAAUUGUCACUAUUCAGCAACAGUGGCAAAAAAAAAAACAUACCUCAGGAGACACAAUUUAUUAGUGCUCUAUUACACGAUCAUUGUAAUGUAGAAUUAGGUGCUUUGAAGUGGAGAAACCAAAUUGACAGUUGUAAAGCAAGACUAUUUUUUUUUUUAAAUAGGGAGUAGAACUGAUGAUUCAAGUUGUUUAUAGAAUUAAAAUCCUGCAAACAUGAAAAGUUUAGCUUUGUCCUGAUGGCUGUUCCAUUCUUUUUCUCACCUGUACCAACCAGAUUCUCUAGCCUGUGACAUUGGCUACAAUGAGACAGUUGCUGUUCACAGUUCCCUUGUAGCAUUCCUAAUGAGCUCAUGACUGGGAGAAACUCUCCAGCUGAAUUUUGUCUGAAACUCCUACUUUAAAGCUAUAUAUACAGAAAACCCUCUUUCUAUAAAAUUCAGUCAUGAUAUUCUUUUAAAAAUAAUUAAGGGACUAGGUUUCAUUGAGCUGUAUUAUUAUUAUUUUGGGUAACGCUCUUCAACAUUGCUAUAGCAGAGAACCACUUAAGGCAUUUUAUUGCUUGAAAGGGGUAAAGGUCCCUGCUGUCCAAGGUAGUACUGCACUUUAAAUGUGAUGAAUGGGUAUCUAUAUCAAGCAUCUAACUUCAACAUGGUACCUAAGGCUGGUUGUCUAAGUUAAGAAAAACAGCCAUGAUUUUCCCCCCCUAACAAGUCCAGUGCACCUUUAGAAUCUGAGGGCUAAAGUCUGCUUUCAGUUUAACUCUGCAAUCCACCUACUUCACUGAGGUUGCACAUGCCUAACGGGGCAGAAUUCAGUCCUUAAGCAUAGUAAAUUAGACACCCAUUUGUGUCAAAUGGUCCAGAAAAUUAAAGUAAAAUAUUCAGAUCAAAUCGUUGUUCUGGUGUGACAGGGAUGAGUGAGUGCUUAGCACCUACUCAACCACUGUUGCGUUUAAUUCAUUAAUCACUCACCUGCCAGAGAAAACAAAUUCCAGAAAUAGCUUUCAGCAAGUGACAAACCCCCACGCUGCACUCCCCAAUGUUUAAAGGGAUAACAACCCAUUUCCUUCUUUCCACUAAAAAAAGCCAUCGUAUAUUGACUUGGGGGUGGACUUGGUUCCUCCUCCUGGCUCUAAGUACCCCAGAACCCUUUGAUUCAGACUUAGCAGUAGCUACAGCACAUUGCAAUCGGGAAAGUGCCAAUAAGCUAUUUUAUUGCAGCUAGACAGGGAAAGGUAUGAAACCUUCAUAUAACCCAUAAAAUAUUUGCUGUUUAAGUGAAAGGUUUGCUUGUUUUCCAUUAUUUUGGACAUGGCACUCUGUUAAUGACAAAGCAAUAUUUACAGGAACAACAUCUAGGACGACUCAAGGAGGUCAACAGUGACAGUGCCUAUUGAAAGAUAAUGUCUUAUUGUACAGUGCAUCAGAUGUUUAUUUUUAUAAAUGCAUAUGAUUGUUUUUUUCUAUGUUUACAAAUUAAGUUAUUUAUAUAUAUAUGCUUAUUUUGAAGUUUUAUAUGCUGAUGAAGUUAAUUUUUAUUUUUACUGGUAUUCAAUUAAUAAGCUUUUUUUAAAUACAAUUGUCAAUUGAUACUAAAUAGCCCUAUUUAUACAGAUGUUUUCUUUUGCAAAUAUAACAACAUUUUAUGAUACUGUUAAUGUGUGGGAUUGGUUUGUUUAGAAGAAAAGUGGGACAAAAGCUAGCUGAUGUAUUUGUUAUCAAGACAAGGCAAAAACUUCCUGUCAGUAUUUUACUAUCAUUAUAGCAGUAGAUUUGAAUGAUAGUGAAUCAAAUCAAUUGUACUGUAUCUCUUAUCCCAUCUCACUCAACAAGGAUUGCUAUUUUCAUAUCCAUAAUAAAUAGUAUUUUCUACAUAGAGAAAACGCCCCAACUGACAUUCAUUGUCUUAACAUGCUCUGUCUACUCAGUCCUUCACAAAAUGUGAGAGUUAAUGGUCAUUAAAAUGAUUUAGGAAAUAACCAAAAGGCUUACUUGAUGAUAAAAUUCUGUAGGGCAUCCAUACAACACCCUCAAAUUAUAGAAGUUAAUAAGUAAUUUCUCAUUAAUCUAAUUCUCUAUAAAAAAUAUAAACAGCACAAGACAUUUGCAGUUCCUUCAAAGCAUUAUUAUAGCUUUUUCCAUACAAUACAAUGCCUAGCUGUUAAUUUGGAGAUAUUGAAGUCAGCACUGAGUCUUGUUCAGACUUCUCAAGAUGCACUUUAGAGUAUCAACCCUAACAACUUCCUAGCUGACCUCCACCUGAGGAGUAGCUAAUUUUCACAAUUUUUGGAUGGUCACUGCUUUCUACAGAAGGGGAGGGAAGGCUUCUAGCUACUGGGAUUUGGCAGGAAUGAGUGCUCCCUCCCACCUCACAUGACCUGAUGUGACCCCUUUCCUCCCCCACACUAGUUCCCAACCUCUCACCAUCAGCAGCAGCCACUAAAGAGUAGGCACAGAGCAGGGGUCUCAAAGUCAUGGCCAGAAGAUGACAUAUGCAGACACCGCCCCCUGCAGCUCCCAUUGGCUGGGGAAGAGGGACAGAGAUACCAUCAUUAGUUGCCAGGCAGCAUCACUUUUUUCCACAAUGAAUAUAAACAAGUCAAAAUACUGAACACAACUAUCUGAUGCAAACCUUGCGGCAAUCCUGAAGGUUUCAAUUGCUCAGUCACUGGGGCCAAACAUCAACAAACUGACAACUGAAAUGUUGCCAAGUGUCUGGCAAGCGAAGAAUUGUAUAAAGUUAUAUGACAGUUUUA
This is an RNA transcript of Chrysemys picta bellii (western painted turtle), 20371 nucleotides long. It is a transcript of the gene named StAR related lipid transfer domain containing 9, with no coding region annotated. NCBI's taxonomy places the organism in Eukaryota, Metazoa, Chordata, Testudines, Emydidae. The record is from RefSeq and is a predicted model, not a curated record.